Neoarius graeffei (lesser salmon catfish) is the source of this 1253-nucleotide long non-coding RNA. RefSeq lists it as uncharacterized. Lineage: Eukaryota; Metazoa; Chordata; Actinopteri; Siluriformes; Ariidae. The transcript is spliced from 3 exons. The record is from RefSeq and is a predicted model, not a curated record.
GAAAAAGGCCAGAUUUAAAUUUGUUUUCUAUGGGUUUUUGUAAGGUGCGUUUCCCCAACUCUACCACAAGAGGGAGUAUCACCAAAAGUGAGCGCUAGUUGUAGUAAGCUGCGCCAGGCUUAUGUUCCUCAGACAGAGGACUGCCUGCUGAAUGAACGCAACUGACGACUCUUGUCUGUACAAAACAGAAAAAUGCUUGAGGAAAGAAAAAGCCAGGAAGAAAACAACCAAGACCAGAAACAUUGAUGCCGUUGGAAUAGAACUCACGGAUGACUCUUACGGAAGGAUCGAUAGUACAAUUGACAAUGGCUGGCUAGGUGAUUCAGUCAUAGACAUGGCCCAUUCCAUUUUAAAAAGGCAGUUUCCCCUCGUUGGUGGUUUCCAACCUUGUGUCUAUGCCGAGACACCAUGUUUCAAGUCAGUUGUUGACACUUUUUUUAAGUUGUAAACACACCCUAAGACUUGUGGCCAACACUGGCGGUGAUGAAACGGCCUACAGGAGGGAGGUGGCCAGUCUGGUGUCAUGGUGUGAGGACAACAACCUCACCCUCAACACGGACAAGACAAAGGAGAUGAUAGUGGAAAUAAGGAAGGAGAGGAGACCUCAUCAGCCACUGUUCAUCGGGAGCUUGAAGUGGAGAGGGUGAGCAGCUUCAAAUACCUGGGUGUUCACAUCGGUGAGGACCUCACAUGGACACUUAACACCACACAGCUGGUUAGGAAGGCUCAACAGUGGCUGUACUUUCCGAAAAGGCUGAGGAAGUUUGGUAUGUCACCCAAGAUCCUCAGCAACUUCUACAGCUGUGUGGUUGAGAGCAUCCUGACCAACUGCAUCACUGUGUGGUACGGUAGCACUACAGCAAUGGACUGCAAACGCCUGCAGAGGGUGGUGAAGACUGCUGAGAGGAUCACCAAAACUCUACUGCCCUCUCUGCAGAGCAUCUACCACCUCAGAGUCCACAGGAGAGCUGCCUCCAUCCUCAAAGACCCCACCCACCCCCAACACGAACUGUUCACACUCCUACCCUCAGGCCGGAGGUACAGAAGUGUGAAAUGUAAGACUGUCAGAAUAAAGAACUCUUUCUUUCCCACUGCCAUCAGACUCCUGAACAGCUGACAGGAGUCUAUAACCAUGGAUUACCUCCUUGUAAACUGUCCUUGAUUGUUUACAUCUGUUUGCACAUUGCUGCCCUUUUUGCUGCUGUUCCUUGACUGUUUACAUCUGAUUACAUUGUUUGCACAUUUGCACAUUA